This 269-nucleotide ribosomal RNA is filed under the name Clitocybe fragrans. RNAcentral describes it as "partial large subunit ribosomal RNA". It matches the Rfam family "Eukaryotic large subunit ribosomal RNA", at positions 419 to 675 of the family's 3401-position model. The record is from RNAcentral. Lineage: Eukaryota; Fungi; Basidiomycota; Agaricomycetes; Agaricales; Clitocybaceae.
ACGCUUGAAGUCAGUCGCGUUGGCCGGGGAUCAACCUUGCUCUUUUGCUUGGUGUACUUUCCGGUCGACGGGUCAGCAUCAAUUUUGACUGGUGGAUAAAGGUCAAGGGAAUGUGGCAUCUUCGGAUGUGUUAUAGCCCUUGGUUGUAUACAUCAGUUGGGAUUGAGGAACUCAGCACGCCGCAAGGCCGGGUUUUUAACCACGUUCGUGCUUAGGAUGCUGGCAUAAUGGCUUUAAUCGACCCGUCUUGAAACACGGACCAAGGAGUC